UUAGGGAGCCCUCCGUGUCAUGUGGGAGAGAAUGCCACACCCCACCCACUGGUGAUACCAGAGAUUCCCAUCAUGGGACCACCUCACGUUUUCAGAGGCUGUGCACCUGCCCUUUGUACAGCCUGUCCAUCAACCAGCGCCUGCCCCUCUGAGCAAGUAGAUCAAGAGAACUAGAUGGAGACUUGAAAGGUCAAGUGACAUUAUUCCAGUUUGAUAGAGACUCAGUGUGGUGGCCUGCUUGAAGUCAAGGAAGCCACACCGUUUUCUGCUUUAUGAGCCCACCCAUCUUUGCCUCUACCCCCAAACGUGGUGUGGGGCCAAAGGUUGGGGGAGGCCCUGACUCAGCUCGUCCUCAUUUGUGACCCAGAUCUGCACCAAAAACAGCGCUGGGAACCACACCAACCAUCCCCACAUGGACUGUGUCAUCACAGGACGGCCCUGCUGCAUUGGCACCAAGGGCAGGUGUGAGAUCACCUCCCGGGAGUACUGUGACUUCAUGAGGGGCUACUUCCAUGAGGAGGCCACGCUCUGCUCUCAGGUGCACUGCAUGGAUGAUGUGUGUGGGCUCCUGCCUUUUCUCAACCCCGAGGUGCCUGACCAGUUCUACCGCCUGUGGCUAUCCCUCUUCCUGCACGCCGGGCAAGUGACACUGUGGGCCGGGUCGGGGGUCUCAGGGCCCUCAGGAUUGGCUGGCUGGGGGUGGCAGAAAGGUCACUUCCCUGCUGAAUGUCUCCCGACCCCCGCCUGCUACUGACUACAGGAUCUUGCACUGCCUGGUGUCCAUCUGCUUCCAGAUGACUGUCCUGCGGGACCUGGAGAAGCUGGCAGGCUGGCACCGCAUAGCCAUCAUCUACCUGCUGAGUGGUGUCACCGGCAACCUGGCCAGUGCCAUCUUCCUGCCAUACCGAGCAGAG
This 914-nucleotide long non-coding RNA is filed under the name Homo sapiens (human). Its description in RNAcentral is "non-protein coding lnc-POLR3K-1:2". The record is from RNAcentral. Lineage: Eukaryota; Metazoa; Chordata; Mammalia; Primates; Hominidae.